This 70-nucleotide transfer RNA is filed under the name Astrospartus mediterraneus. Its description in RNAcentral is "transfer RNA-His". The record is from RNAcentral. Lineage: Eukaryota; Metazoa; Echinodermata; Ophiuroidea; Euryalida; Gorgonocephalidae.
ACCAUCUUAGUUUAAUAAAAACAAAAAUUUGUGAAAUUUUAGAAGAGAGAAAUAACACUUUCAGAUAGUC